AAGCGCUCAUGACCAGACUUGGGCUUGGCGGAUCAUCCGGCGUUCUCGCCGGUGCACUUCGCCUCGCCCAGGCCAGCAUCAGUUCGCGCCGGGGGACAAAAGCUUCGGGAAUGUGGCUCCUCCGGGAGUGUUAUAGCCCGUUGCAUAAUACCCUGGUGCGGACUGAGGUCCGCGCAUCUGCAAGGAUGCUGGCGUAAUGGUCAUCAGC
Molecule: ribosomal RNA, 208 nt
Filed under: Hypomyces armeniacus
Lineage: Eukaryota; Fungi; Ascomycota; Sordariomycetes; Hypocreales; Hypocreaceae
Description: partial large subunit ribosomal RNA
Source: RNAcentral